AGUCUCUUGGAAAUCAAAGAAACAAGAGACUGUGUCCAGGAGCUUUGCAGAAGCAGAGUUUAGAAGCAUGUCUACUUGUAGUGCAGAGAUCACCUGGUUACUUAGACUAUUUCAAGAGCUAGGAAUCCAGAUUAAACAACCUGUAGACUUAAUGUGUGACAUUAAAGCAGCAAUACAGAUUGCUGAUAAUCCUAUUUUUCAUGAAAGGACAAAACACAUUGACAUAGAUUGUCAUUUUGUGAGAGAAAGAAUCAGUCAGAAAAUGAUCAAGACCAAUCAUGUGCCUACAGAGGAGCAGCUAGCAGAUAUUCUCACAAAAUCCUUAGAGAAGAGUCGGCACGAAUAUCUACUAAGUAAACUGGGAAUGAAGAACAUGUUUAAGCCAUCAACUUGAGGGGGAGUGUUAAGAUAGUGGAAAGUGUAAUCAACAAGUUGAUGAUUAGUUAGAGGAAGUUAGUGUGUGUGAUGUAUGUGUGAGUGAGUUAGUUGGUUAAGUGUGACAGCUGUCAAUAUACAGCUGUCACAAGGAGCAAACUAACCCUAUAAAUGUGACUUGUAGUGCCAUAACAAGCUAACAGAAAAUAAAUCAAUAAAAACUACUUCUAGAAUCUUCUACUCCUCUCCUUCAAGCUCUCAGCUCAAUACUAUAGAAAUCUAACAGUCUCUCAAUCUAUUUUAUCAUCCUUUCUUCUGUUUUUCCUUUCCACUCCAAAUUCUUUGAAGUAAUUCAUCUAAUUGUGUCAUAGGUAUGGUUUCUAGAUGCUACUCCAGAAGAGGUUCGAGCUGGUGCAGAUGGAGAUGAUCAUCUAGCUGAAUUGAUAUCAUUUCUAAGUAAAUUACCAAAAGAGGGUUUGAAGAGCAGGAAGGUCAACCAAUUGCAGGGACAAAAAUUUGGCAACAAGGAUUCAAAGAACCGGUUAAUAGUCAAGGCAUGUGCUAAGGAAAUUGCCUUUGACCAAAAAAUCUAGGAGCGCCCUGCAGGCUGGUAUCAACAAGCUAGUUGAUGCUAUCGACUUGACACUAGAUCCUAGGGUCCUGAAGCCCUUUGGAUUUCCUGCCGAAAGGAACGUAGUUUUGGAUGAGUAUGGCACCCCUAAGGAGUUUGUGAAACAAUUGAUUCUGGCACUUACUACUCACUUUCUUCCAGUAGUUAUUGAGUGUAUUGGUGGUAUUAGGGUACAAGAAGGGGCCGUGCUUGAUCCUCCUCCUCCUAAUAGUGAUGGUGAUGAUGUUGAUUCGUAGCUUCAUAGUAUUCAUAGCCCUCCAUUGUUGCAUUAAUUUUUGAUAGACUAUUUUAUGUGGAAGUACAAAACAGUUAUGUAGUAACAUGUGGGUUUGACAUUAGGUUAUGUUUGACAAAAUACUUGAAGUUGUGGAUGUUUGGACACAAUUAUGUGAUGUAUUUUUCUAUCUCUAUAUUUUGAACAUUCUAAUAUAAGUAAUUAUUUAUAUGAA
This is a long non-coding RNA of Capsicum annuum, 1455 nucleotides long. RefSeq lists it as uncharacterized. The transcript has 3 exons. The record is from RefSeq and is a predicted model, not a curated record. NCBI's taxonomy places the organism in Eukaryota, Viridiplantae, Streptophyta, Magnoliopsida, Solanales, Solanaceae.